RNAcentral lists this transfer RNA (84 nucleotides) under Omnitrophica WOR_2 bacterium RIFCSPHIGHO2_02_FULL_68_15. RNAcentral's name for it is "tRNA-Leu". It matches the Rfam family "tRNA". Rfam says of the family: Transfer RNA (tRNA) molecules are approximately 80 nucleotides in length. Their secondary structure includes four short double-helical elements and three loops (D, anti-codon, and T loops). The record is from RNAcentral. Lineage: Bacteria; Pseudomonadati; Candidatus Omnitrophota.
GCCGAGCUGGCGGAAUGGCAGACGCGCAGGUCUCAAAAACCUGUGGGGUUUACCCCCGUAUCGGUUCAAGUCCGAUGCUCGGCA